GGCUAAGCUAGUGGGGGCAAAGUUUCAGUGCAUUCCGUUGAUGUAGACGGCGUGAAAACGGAAACAAGUAUGCCGGCUCACUGUGCUGCAUACAAUUGCACACUGCGUCGUACGAUUGAGACAAGGAAACUUGGAAUGACUUUUCAUAGGUUUCCCAGAGACUAUGGGUUGAGGAGGAAUUGGAAGUUUGUCGGCUUAGACCUGGUGUCAUUCCAUCAGUGUUAAACUUCCCGGCUCAUCUUGGAAGAGUACGUGCCAGGAAGAGUACGUGCCAGAAAGACCACGACCAAGCAGCCUUGAGAUCUUAGGCAGCGUCUCCCUCAGGUCCCUCUCUAUCUCCCCACACAUCCACCAACCACUGGAACACAUCUCCAAAGUUCUGCCAGGCCAGCUCAGCUUCCCUUCAGAAGAAGUGCUGCCAGAUGAAGGAGCCUUUUGAGAGGCAGCUGGCAUCGUGAUUGGACUGUACUUUGGUCUGUUCCAAUCCAGCUUCAGCUCCAGAGACGGCAGGCGGGACGAGUCAACAGAGGCCGGAUGGACGAAGGCAUGCAGCUGAGUACAAUCCAGAAAACAACAGAGGAGGAGUGCAGUGGUCCAGGGCCAGAACAACCACAGUAGCAUCACCAAAGAACUACAGACUCUUCACAACCUGC
Long non-coding RNA from Amphiprion ocellaris (clown anemonefish), 653 nucleotides. The record is from Ensembl. NCBI's taxonomy places the organism in Eukaryota, Metazoa, Chordata, Actinopteri, Pomacentridae.